Molecule: ribosomal RNA, 456 nt
Filed under: uncultured bacterium
Lineage: Bacteria
Description: partial 16S ribosomal RNA
Rfam family: Bacterial small subunit ribosomal RNA
Source: RNAcentral
CCUACGGGUGGCAGCAGUGAGGAAUAUUGGUCAAUGUACGCAAGUCUGAACCAGCCAUGCCGCGUGCAGGAAGACGGCUCUAUGAGUUGUAAACUGCUUUUGUACGAGGGUAAAUCCCGAUACGUGUAUCGGGUUGAAAGUAUCGUACGAAUAAGUAUCGGCUAACUCCGUGCCAGCAGCCGCUGUAAUACGGAGGAUUCAAGCGUUAUCCGGAUUUAUUGGGUGUAAAGGGUGCGGAGGCGGUUCGAUAAGUUAGAGGUGAAAUCCCGGGGCUCAACCCCGUCGAGCCGUUGAAACUGGCAGACUUGAGUUGGCGAGAAGUACGCGGAAUGCGCGGUGUAGCGGUGAAAUGCAUAGAUAUCGCGCAGAACUCCGAUUGCGAAGGCAGCGUACCGGCGCCAGACUGACGCUGAGGCACGAAAGCGUGGGGAUCGAACAGGAUUAGAUACCCCAGUC